RNAcentral lists this unclassified non-coding RNA (143 nucleotides) under uncultured fungus. RNAcentral's name for it is "sequence contains ITS1". Lineage: Eukaryota; Fungi. The record is from RNAcentral.
ACGAGUUAGGGUUCCGCUUCUAAGGGCCCGACCUCCCAACCCUUUGUCUACCGAACCUAUUUUAUGAAAACACCCUCGGCGGGUUCGCGCCCGCCGACGGUGAAUUCUUAAACUCUUGACCAGUUAAAAAUCUUAACUAUAAA